GCGAGAGUGGCGGAACUGGCAGACGCGCAGGACUUAGGAUCCUGGGCCCAAAAGGCGUGCGGGUUCGACUCCCGCCUCUCGCA
RNAcentral lists this transfer RNA (83 nucleotides) under Myxococcota bacterium. Its description in RNAcentral is "tRNA-Leu". It matches the Rfam family "tRNA". From Rfam's summary of the family: Transfer RNA (tRNA) molecules are approximately 80 nucleotides in length. Their secondary structure includes four short double-helical elements and three loops (D, anti-codon, and T loops). Further hydrogen bonds mediate the characteristic L-shaped molecular structure. tRNAs have two regions of fundamental functional importance: the anti-codon, which is responsible for specific mRNA codon recognition, and the 3' end, to which the tRNAs corresponding amino acid is attached (by aminoacyl-tRNA synthetases). tRNAs cope with the degeneracy of the genetic code in two manners: having more than one tRNA (with a specific anti-codon) for a particular amino acid; and 'wobble' base-pairing, i.e. permitting non-standard base-pairing at the 3rd anti-codon position. Lineage: Bacteria; Pseudomonadati; Myxococcota. The record is from RNAcentral.